GACGAACGCUGGCGGCGUGCUUAACACAUGCAAGUCGAACGGAAAGGCCCUGCUUUUGUGGGGUGCUCGAGUGGCGAACGGGUGAGUAACACGUGAGUAACCUGCCCUUGACUUUGGGAUAACUUCAGGAAACUGGGGCUAAUACCGGAUAGGAGCUCCUGCUGCAUGGGGGGGGUUGGAAAGUUUCGGCGGUUGGGGAUGGACUCGCGGCUUAUCAGCUUGUUGGGGGGGUAGUGGCUUACCAAGGCUUUGACGGGUAGCCGGCCUGAGAGGGUGACCGGCCACCUUGGGACUGAGAUACGGCCCAGACUCCUACGGGAGGCAGCAGUGGGGAAUCUUGCACAAUGGGCGGAAGCCUGAUGCAGCAACGCCGCGUGCGGGAUGCCGGCCUUCGGGUUGUAAACCGCUUUCGCCUGUGACGAAGCGUGAGUGACGGUAAUGGGUAAAGAAGCACCGGCUAACUACGUG
RNAcentral lists this ribosomal RNA (468 nucleotides) under uncultured bacterium. Its description in RNAcentral is "partial 16S ribosomal RNA". It matches the Rfam family "Bacterial small subunit ribosomal RNA", at positions 28 to 507 of the family's 1533-position model. The record is from RNAcentral.